Molecule: ribosomal RNA, 497 nt
Filed under: uncultured bacterium
Lineage: Bacteria
Description: partial 16S ribosomal RNA
Rfam family: Bacterial small subunit ribosomal RNA
Source: RNAcentral
GAUGAACGCUGGCGGCGUGCCUAAUACAUGCAAGUCGAGCGAACAGACGAGGAGCUUGCUCCUCUGACGUUAGCGGCGGACGGGUGAGUAACACGUGGAUAACCUACCUAUAAGACUGGGAUAACUUCGGGAAACCGGAGCUAAUACCGGAUAAUAUAUUGAACCGCAUGGUUCAAUAGUGAAAGACGGUUUUGCUGUCACUUAUAGAUGGAUCCGCGCCACAUUAGCUAGUUGGUAAGGUAACGGCUUACCAAGGCAACGAUGCGUAGCCGACCUGGGAGGGUGAUCGGCCACACUGGAACUGAGACACGGUCCAGACUCCUACGGGAGGCAGCAGUAGGGAAUCUUCCGCAAUGGGCGAAAGCCUGACGGAGCAACGCCGCGUGAGUGAUGAAGGUCUUCGGAUCGUAAAACUCUGUUAUUAGGGAAGAACAAAUGUGUAAGUAACUAUGCACGUCUUGACGGUACCUAAUCAGAAAGCCACGGCUAACUACGUG